AGAUGUGUGGGCGAUCUGGCUGCAACAUCUGUCACCCCAUUGAUCGCCAGGGUUGAUUCGACUGAUCUGGCUGGCUAGGCAGGUGUCCCCUUCCUCCCUCACUGCUCCAUGUGCGUCCCUCCUGAAGCUGCAUGCUUGGUCGAAGAGGACGGCCUUCCCUGAAUAGAGACCCACCGGUCUUUGGCCAAGGGUAUAUGAGUAGCUGCGCUCCCCUGCUAGAACCUCCAAACAAGCUCUCAAGAAUGCAUUCACUUAAAAUGUUUCAUUCUUUUCUCAAGGAUUAAGUGCAGGGACCUUCAUGGCAUCUAAAUAUAGUUGCAAGGAAUAAUUUAGUGUUUUUU
Molecule: small nuclear RNA, 341 nt
Filed under: Erinaceus europaeus (western European hedgehog)
Lineage: Eukaryota; Metazoa; Chordata; Mammalia; Eulipotyphla; Erinaceidae
Description: 7SK RNA
Rfam family: 7SK RNA
About the family: 7SK was discovered as an abundant small nuclear RNA in the mid-70s but a possible function has only recently been suggested. Two independent studies have found that 7SK RNA binds the CDK9/cyclin T complex (known as elongation factor P-TEFb).
Source: Rfam by way of RNAcentral